GACGAACGCUGGCGGCGUGCUUAACACAUGCAAGUCGAACGGAAAGGCCCUGCUUUUGUGGGGUGCUCGAGUGGCGAACGGGUGAGUAACACGUGAGUAACCUGCCCUUGACUUUGGGAUAACUUCAGGAAACUGGGGCUAAUACCGGAUAGGAUCUCCUGCUGCAUGGUGGGGGUUGGAAAGUUUCGGCGGUUGGGGAUGGACUCGCGGCUUAUCAGCUUGUUGGUGGGGUAGUGGCUUACCAAGGCUUUGACGGGUAGCCGGCCUGAGAGGGUGACCGGCGACAUUGGGACUGAGAUACGGACCAGACGCCAACGGGAGGCAGCAGUGGGGAGUAUUGCACAAUAGGCGGGAGCCUGAUGUAGCAACGCCGCGUGCGGGAUGACGGGCUUCGGGUUGUAAACCGAUUUCGCCUGUGACGAAGCGUGAGUGACGGUAAUGGGUAAAGAAGCAACGGCUAACUACGUG
Molecule: ribosomal RNA, 468 nt
Filed under: uncultured bacterium
Lineage: Bacteria
Description: partial 16S ribosomal RNA
Rfam family: Bacterial small subunit ribosomal RNA
Source: RNAcentral